Molecule: ribosomal RNA, 329 nt
Filed under: uncultured eukaryote
Lineage: Eukaryota
Description: partial 18S ribosomal RNA
Rfam family: Eukaryotic small subunit ribosomal RNA
Source: RNAcentral
CCCUUAGAUGUCCGGGGCCGCACGCGCGCUACACUGAAGGAAUCAGCGUGGCUUUCUCCCUGACCCGAAAGGGUUGGGAAACCCGUCGAAUCUCCUUCGUGAUAGGGAUUGGGGCUUGAAAUUGUUCCCCAUGAACGAGGAAUUCCCAGUAAGCGCGAGUCAUAAGCUCGCGUUGAUUACGUCCCUGCCCUUUGUACACACCGCCCGUCGCACCUACCGAUUGGAUGGUCCGGUGAAGCCUCGGGAUUGUGGUUCUUGCCGCUUUAUUGUGGCGUGACCGCGAGAACUUGUCUAAACCUUAUCAUCUAGAGGAAGGUGAAGUCGUAACA